RNAcentral lists this ribosomal RNA (301 nucleotides) under uncultured bacterium. RNAcentral's name for it is "partial 16S ribosomal RNA". It matches the Rfam family "Bacterial small subunit ribosomal RNA", at positions 509 to 809 of the family's 1533-position model. The record is from RNAcentral.
CAGCAGCCGCGGGAAUACGUAGGGUGCAAGCGUUAAUCGGAAUUACUGGGCGUAAAGCGUGCGCAGGCGGUUAUAUAAGACAGAUGUGAAAUCCCCGGGCUCAACCUGGGAACUGCAUUUGUGACUGUAUAGCUAGAGUACGGCAGAGGGGGAUGGAAUUCCGCGUGUAGCAGUGAAAUGCGUAGAUAUGAGGAGGAACACCGAUGGCGAAGGCAAUCCCCUGGGCCUGUACUGACGCUCAUGCGCGAAAGCGUGGGGAGCAAACAGGAUUAGAUACCCCUGUAGUCCCUGUCUCUUAUAU